RNAcentral lists this unclassified non-coding RNA (201 nucleotides) under fungal sp. RNAcentral's name for it is "partial internal transcribed spacer region". The stretch from base 1 to 46 matches the Rfam family "Eukaryotic small subunit ribosomal RNA", at positions 1786 to 1831 of the family's 1831-position model. Lineage: Eukaryota; Fungi. The record is from RNAcentral.
AAGUCGUAACAAGGUCUCCGUAGGUGAACCUGCGGAGGGAUCAUUACUGAACGAUCAUCCUUGAUCUUCUUACCCUCAAACCACUGUGGAACACGAGAUGUGCUUCGGCGCCAGUCGGCGCCGCCUUUAUGCUUCAACAAUGUCUUUUUUUGUCUGAAGAACUGAAUGUCAAAACUUUCAACAACGGAUCUCUUGGCUCUC